Molecule: non-coding RNA, 1460 nt
Organism: Gopherus flavomarginatus (Mexican gopher tortoise)
Lineage: Eukaryota; Metazoa; Chordata; Testudines; Testudinidae
Source: the annotation of a RefSeq genome assembly
UCAGGAAACAUGAACAAACUCAUCUUUGGAAAGGGAACUAAACUGCGGAUCAAACUCGAUCUCGCAGACUCUGACCCUUCUGUCUACCAACUGAAGUCCCAAGAUGGAAAAUUGUCAGCUUGCCUUAUCACAGACUUCGCCCCUGAGAACAUCUCAGUUGGGAGUUCAGGCAGUGAUCUAACACCAGUCAGUGGUUCCAUUGUGCAGGUGAAAAACCCAGACAGCAGAAAAAUGGAAGCAAGCUAUGGGACGGUGCUUUGGAGAGAAGAGAAGUCGUUUCACUGCAUCGCUAAACAUAAAAUGGAAACAUUUGAGAUGAGUGACAGUGAUGAAGAAGGUGACACCUGCGGGAUAACAGAGCUGGAUGACAAUUUUGAGACAGACGAGAAGCUGAACCUCCUGUCAUUCACGCUGCUGGGCCUGAGAAUCGUUUUUGUGAAAGGAGUGGCGGUUAACCUGCUGCUGACCAUCUGGCUGUGGAAAAGCUAAAGAGUGGAAGGAAAGAGGACAGAUGGAAUCUGGAGUGAUGGGAAUUCCUCAGAGACCUGGUGUCACCUCUUCACCUUCCCAUGCACCAGGAAAUAUGAUGCCGUGAAUGAUCCUCAUAUCACCUCUGUAUAUAGGCCUGUUGUACAAUGAUCAGAUGUGCUUUCAUUUAGCAAGUUUUAGAAGGAUCUCACCUACCUAGCCUGGUUUUUCCAUGACCCUCAUCCCUUUCACCCUCCACAGACUGACACAUUUAUCCUCACAAGCUCCCAGUGUGAGGCAAGGAAUUGCUAUUAAGUAGAGCUGGUCAACAAACGUGUGAAAACAUCUUUUGAUGGAAAAUUAGGGUUUCAAUUUAUUUUGGCAGAAAGUCCCCAUUUUCCUAGGGAAAAAAACUUCAAAUUUUCAUCAAAAACUCAAAAUGUUUGGCUAAAAACUGAAUAUUUUGCAGUUUUUUUGGUUUUUUUUUUUUAGUUUUUUACCACAAGAUUUUUCAAUUUUUAGUUGUCAAACCACCAAAAACAACUUUUUAAACAGUUUUUUCCAGUGCAAAUUUCAACAAAAAGUGAAAAUUUUUUUAGAGUUGAUUGAAAUUUUCUGCAGAUCAAACCAGCUUUACCAUUAACCCUAUUUUGAAAAGGGGAAAUUGAAGCACAGAGAAUGAGGCUGAGAUUUUCAAAGCCACCUAAGGGCUUUGGGCUCCUGCUUCUCUUGGAAAUCAAUGGGAAUUGUGCAUUAAAAUCCUCUAGGUUGAAUUUUACACUCUCUGCCACACACUGGGAUUUUCAAAGCAGCCUAGAGGAAUGAGGCAUCCAUCUCCACUUGAAAUUCAAUAGCAUUUAGGCAGCUAGUGCCUUUGAAAAUCCAGCCAGCACAUUUCUGAUAGUGGUGGGUUCUUUAAAGCAGACGCGUGGAAGUUGACGCUAGACAAAUUCAGCCUGGCACUAAAGUGCAAAUUAACAAUCGGGUAAUUA